This 606-nucleotide ribosomal RNA is filed under the name uncultured bacterium. RNAcentral describes it as "bacterial SSU rRNA". It matches the Rfam family "Bacterial small subunit ribosomal RNA", at positions 112 to 714 of the family's 1533-position model. The record is from RNAcentral.
AAUAUAUCGGAACGUACCCUAGAGUGGGGGAUAACGUAGCGAAAGUUUCGCUAAUACCGCAUACGAUCUAAGGAUGAAAGUGGGGGAUCGCAAGACCUCAUGCUCGUGGAGCGGCCGAUAUCUGAUUAGCUAGUUGGUAGGGUAAAAGCCUACCAAGGCAUCGAUCAGUAGCUGGUCUGAGAGGACGACCAGCCACACUGGAACUGAGACACGGUCCAGACUCCUACGGGAGGCAGCAGUGGGGAAUUUUGGACAAUGGGCGAAAGCCUAAUCCAGCAAUGCCGCGUGAGUGAAGAAGGCCUUCGGGUUGUAAAGCUCUUUUGUCAGGGAAGAAACGGUGAGAGCUAAUAUCUCUUGCUAAUGACGGUACCUGAAGAAUAAGCACCGGCUAACUACGUGCCAGCAGCCGCGGUAAUACGUAGGGUGCAAGCGUUAAUCGGAAUUACUGGGCGUAAAGCGUGCGCAGGCGGUUUUGUAAGUCUGAUGUGAAAUCCCCGGGCUCAACCUGGGAAUUGCAUUGGAGACUGCAAGGCUAGAAUCUGGCAGAGGGGGGUAGAAUCCCACGUGUAGCAGUGAAAUGCGUAGAUAUGUGGAGGAACACCGAUG